RNAcentral lists this small nucleolar RNA (174 nucleotides) under Anabas testudineus (climbing perch). RNAcentral describes it as "Small nucleolar RNA SNORD97 (ENSATEG00000002489.2)". It matches the Rfam family "Small nucleolar RNA SNORD97". Lineage: Eukaryota; Metazoa; Chordata; Actinopteri; Anabantiformes; Anabantidae. The record is from Rfam by way of RNAcentral.
GUGCCCAGUGAUUAUAAAAAGACGCGUUAUUCUGAGGAACACAACCUGCUACCAGUCUUUUAUCUACCUUUUACUCCUUCUUUAUCUCUAUCUUUUCUAUUCUUCUCCACUUUGUCUCCUCUUCCUCGAGCUGGUAGCUGGUCCACUGACUGCGAUUAUGAGAUAUGAGGGCAU